Molecule: ribosomal RNA, 254 nt
Filed under: uncultured bacterium
Lineage: Bacteria
Description: partial 16S ribosomal RNA
Rfam family: Bacterial small subunit ribosomal RNA
Source: RNAcentral
CACGUAGGGUGCGAGCGUUGUCCGGAAUUAUUGGGCGUAAAGAGCUCGUAGGCGGUGUGUCGCGUCGGCCGUGAAAACCUGCAGCUUAACUGUGGGCGUGCGGUCGAUACGGGCAUAACUGGAGUUCGGCAGGGGAGACUGGAAUUCCUGGUGUAGCGGUGAAGUGCGCAGAUAUCAGGAGGAACACCGGUGGCGGAGGCGGGUCUCUGGGCCGAUACUGACGCUGAGGAGCGAAAGCGUGGGGAGCGAACAGG